This 1589-nucleotide ribosomal RNA is filed under the name Histiona aroides. Its description in RNAcentral is "SSU rRNA". It matches the Rfam family "Bacterial small subunit ribosomal RNA". Lineage: Eukaryota; Jakobea; Jakobida; Histionidae. The record is from RNAcentral.
UAAUUAAAGAGUUUGAUCCUGGCUCAGAAUGAACGCUUGCGGUACGCUUCACACAUGCAAGUCUAAUGGGUUUCUUAUAUUAAGUUGUCCAUGGCGAACGGGUGAGUAAUACACAAGAACUUGCCUAACAGUCCGGAAUAAGUAUAUCGAUUUUAAAUCGAGAAUUGAGGUAUCUAUUUGUUUAGGUGCUUUAAGUAUAAAUACCGGGUAUCUAAAGAUUUAUCGCUGUUAGAUAGGCUUGUGCAGGAAUAUGGUAGUUGGUGAGGUAACAGCUCACCAAGCCUAUGAUCCUUAGCUGGUCUGAAAGGACGAUCAGCCACAUUGGGACUGAGACACGGCCCAAACUUCUACGGAAGGCAGCAGUGGGGAAUAUUGGACAAUGGGCGAAAGCCUGAUCCAGCGCCUACCGCGUGAGUGAUGAAGGCUCUUUUGGUUGUAAAGCUCUUUUAUUGAGGAAGAUUAUGACGGUACUCAAAGAAUAAGUCCCGGCUAACUCCGUGCCAGCAGCCGCGGUAAUACGGGGGGGACUAGUGUUAUUCGUAUUGAUUAGGCGUAAAGGGCAUGCAGGUUGUUCAUUAAGUUGUAGGUUAAAUCCCUGAUUUAAGUUAGGAAUGUCCUACAAAACUGGUGAACUAGAGUUUGAUAGAGGAUAGUGGAAUUUCUAAUGUAAGGAUAAAAUCUAUAAAUAUUAGAAGGAACACCCGAAGCGAAGGCGACUAUCUGGAUCAAAACUGACACUGAGAUGCGAAAGCGUGGGGAGCAAACAGGAUUUGAGACCCUGGUAGUCCACGCCCUAAACGAUGGUUGCUAAAUGUCGGGAAUACUCUCGGUGUUACAGCUAACGCGUUAAGCAACCCGCCUGGGUAGUAUAAUCGCAAGGUUGAAACUCAAAGGAAUUGACGGGGGCCUGAACAAGCGGUGGAGCAUGUGGUUUAAUUCGAUACAACGCGCAGAACCUUACCAGCUCUUGACAUUAUUUUUGAGCUGCGAAAGCAGCUCAUUUAUUAUUAAUACAGGUGCUGCAUGGCUGUCGUCAGCUCGUGUCGUGAGAUGUUGGGUUAAGUCCUAUAACGAGCGCAACCCCUAUAGUUAGUUAAUUCAUAUUACUGCUUAGCUGAUGAGGUUAACUUAGUAUGUACUCUAACUAAACUGCCUGUGAUAAGCAGGAGGAAGGUGGGGAUGACGUCAAGUCCUCAUGGCCCUUAUGAGCUGGGCUACACACGUGCUACAAUGGUAAUGACAAUAGGAUGCAAUGAUGCGAGUCGGAGCAAAUCCUUUAAACAUUGCCCAAGUUCAGAUUGUACUCUGAAACUCGAGUAUAUGAAGGCGGAAUCGCUAGUAAUCGUGGGUCAGCACACCACGGUGAAUACGUUCCCAGGCCUUGUACACACCGCCCGUCACACCCUGGAAGUUGUUUUUACCCGAAGCACUUACCUUAACUUAUGGCUGGUUUUCGAAUGUAUAGACAUUAUAUAUUGUCUUGGUUCGUUCUUCUGCAUAAGAUGGGUACUGCAACGGUAAUGACAGCGACUAUGGUGAAGUCGUAACAAGGUAGUCAUAGGGGAACCUGUGGCUGGAUGAACUCCUUU